UUUGGCUGUUCUGGAUCCAGAGUGCGGACUGCGGCCUGCCGGAAGAAGUGCAGAGGGUUCAGGGAUACACUGCGGCCAACCCAAGCAUUGGAGGUACGGGGGUUGGACUGGUCUGGUUCCGUGGAAGAAGAGCAGACCGUGCACCUGCAGGCAGCAGUUGUGUGAUGGAGUGCGGUCAAUCCCUGACGUGCAGCCGAAGAGGAGGUGUAUGCUGACCCGGACGGAUCCCAACUGC
Saccostrea echinata is the source of this 235-nucleotide long non-coding RNA. RefSeq lists it as uncharacterized. The record is from RefSeq and is a predicted model, not a curated record. NCBI's taxonomy places the organism in Eukaryota, Metazoa, Mollusca, Bivalvia, Ostreida, Ostreidae. The transcript has 3 exons.